UGAACCCUUGCCUUUCAGUGCCUUAACGAGGGCCGAAGUAGAAUUUUUCUUAGCUAAACCUGCAACAUUAAUGACCUGCUUUGUCCCAUUGACCAUCUUAUUAACCUUACCAUUGGGUGGAUUAUUCCUUUUCACCACCUCACUAGCAGGUACCAUCUUAACCGAUCGUCCAUUAGUCCCAACUCUUGAGGGAGAUUCAGUUUGCCGCGCUUCAACAUGAAACUGAAAUGCUUUAUUAGUCAAAGUUGGAUUACAUGUUUUCCUCUCAAAGCUUGAUAUGGAACUCGAGAAACUAAGAUUGUCCAUAUCUCUUCCUUGGUUUAUCAAAUCAAUAUUGUGGCAAUAACAGCCUUGUGAAGCCAGUAUUGCCGCCAUUCAAUCGACAAACACCUAUGGAUUGAUAUCAAUACAGAAAUUAGACUGAUGCUAAACCAAAUAACAAUACUAAGAAUUAAAGCGAGCAAAUGUCAGUUAUAAUGGGAAACACGAAAAUUAAACCAUUAACACGACAAAUCUGAAGCCAGAACACUCAAUGAAAUAAAAAAAUAAAAAAAAAAACUCAACUGAAAGCAAGAUAAUGAAACAAAAGAAGAAAACAAAUGAGCAAUGAAUAUUCACCCACCAAGUCAAUGACUCUUAAGUAUUAAUUCUAAUUAUCUAAACAUGAAUGAACAUAUAUACUAAGUUAGUUAAGAGAACAGAAGAGUUUAAACUUAAAAGACAUUAAUACAUGCAAAUUGAAUAAUGUUUGUUUGAAACUAAAGAGAGCCCAGAUGAAGAUACUCACAAGAGAAGAAGAAAGAGUAACUAUCAAGUCUUAGAAAUGAAUCUCGAAGCUGAGAGAUUUAUUGGGUUUUAAGAAAAAUGACCAAAAAAUUGAUUUUUUUUUUAUAAGAAAAUAAAUUGACUAAAUAAGUGUUAUGAACAAAAUGUGGACGAGCAAAAAGAACGUGGACAGCACAGUGGCAGCGUGUCUCCCUUGCCAAUUCUAGUUGAUUAAGUUACUCAACAUAUUGUUCGGUCUGAUUUUUCUUUCUCUUUUUGUUUGGGUAUAUUUGUAAUUUCAUUUUAACGACAAAACUGAAAGUUGAAUCUUCACGACAACCAUUCAGUUGCGUGGCGGGUUUUAUUUUCUUGUCAAGAAUGGGUAAAAUUAUAUAUGAGUCCCUGAUGUUUCUUUAAGCGAUGACUUAUUUAUCCGUAUCAACAGGUCCAGGAUUAUCGCCAUUAAAAAUUUGAAAUGAUCAUCUUAACCUUGCAAUUUUGGACUUCCAAGAGUAUAUGUAAUAUAACUUAACUCUAAAGGGUAUUUCAGUUAUUGCGAUUGAAAUUAUCAAAUUGGGGACAUAUUUGAUAUAAAUGGAAGAACUAUUUAUUAUUAUUGGGAAAUAAUAAACUAUUAACCAAUAGCGUGGAUGUUAAAAUAAGAUCUAUAAUAACAAUUUAGUGAUUUUUUUUUUUAAAAAUUUUUGAGAAGAUCAAUUUAGUGAUCUUAAAUUAUUAACAAAAAAGCCAGAAGCCCCCCAAAAAAAAAAAAGAUUUAAGUCGAAGAGACCAAGAAAUGAUGAGAAACUUGGCCAAAUAUGAAAUCAGUAAUGAUAAUGACUGAUCAAAGUUUGAAGCCAAUCUGGCAGCAUCAUAUACCUGUUUAUCUUCUGAGAAGCCUCCCAAAUAGGCCCAUUUGGCAUUGUCAAACAGAAUACGGAUUUGUAAUGAAAGGACAAAUGACCAAACAUCUAUAAUCCUUUGCCAGGAAUUAUAAUUCUCAUUAGCCCAACUGAAACUUUCAUCCGAGGGCAGAACCUUCAGCUCCUCCACUGGUGGAAGUUCAUUUGAACCCUUGCCUUUCAGUGCCUUAACGAGGGCCGAAGUAGAAUUUUUCUUAGCUAAACCUGCAACAUUAAUGACCUGCUUUGUCCCAUUGACCAUCUUAUUAACCUUACCAUUGGGUGGAUUAUUCCUUUUCACCACCUCACUAGCAGGUACCAUCUUAACCGAUCGUCCAUUAGUCCCAACUCUUGAGGGAGAUUCAGUUUGCCGCGCUUCAACAUGAAACUGAAAUGCUUUAUUAGUCAAAGUUGGAUUACAUGUUUUCCUCUCAAAGCUUGAUAUGGAACUCGAGAAACUAAGAUUGUCCAUAUCUCUUCCUUGGUUUAUCAAAUCAAUAUUGUGGCAAUAACAGCCUUGUGAAGCCAGUAUUGCCGCCAUUCAAUCGACAAACACCUAUGGAUUGAUAUCAAUACAGAAAUUAGACUGAUGCUAAACCAAAUAACAAUACUAAGAAUUAAAGCGAGCAAAUGUCAGUUAUAAUGGGAAACACGAAAAUUAAACCAUUAACACGACAAAUCUGAAGCCAGAACACUCAAUGAAAUAAAAAAAUAAAAAAAAAAACUCAACUGAAAGCAAGAUAAUGAAACAAAAGAAGAAAACAAAUGAGCAAUGAAUAUUCACCCACCAAGUCAAUGACUCUUAAGUAUUAAUUCUAAUUAUCUAAACAUGAAUGAACAUAUAUACUAAGUUAGUUAAGAGAACAGAAGAGUUUAAACUUAAAAGACAUUAAUACAUGCAAAUUGAAUAAUGUUUGUUUGAAACUAAAG
Molecule: long non-coding RNA, 2597 nt
Filed under: Citrus sinensis (sweet orange)
Lineage: Eukaryota; Viridiplantae; Streptophyta; Magnoliopsida; Sapindales; Rutaceae
Description: long non-coding RNA (CSIN_LNC000763)
Source: RNAcentral